CAGUCGCCGCGGUAAUACGUAGGGUCCGAGCGUUGUCCGGAAUUAUUGGGCGUAAAGGGCUCGUAGGCGGUUUGUUGCGUCGGGAGUGAAAACCCAGGGCUUAACUUUGGGCUUGCUUUCGAUACGGGCAGACUUGAGGCAUUGAGGGGAGAACGGAAUUCCUGGUGUAGCGGUGAAAUGCGCAGAUAUCAGGAGGAACACCGGUGGCGAAGGCGGUUCUCUGGCAAUGUUCUGACGCUGAGGAGCGAAAGUGUGGGGAGCGAACAGGAUUAGAUACCCGUGUAGUCCCUGUCUCUUAUAC
RNAcentral lists this ribosomal RNA (301 nucleotides) under uncultured bacterium. Its description in RNAcentral is "partial 16S ribosomal RNA". It matches the Rfam family "Bacterial small subunit ribosomal RNA", at positions 509 to 807 of the family's 1533-position model. The record is from RNAcentral.